GAACGCUGGCGGCGUGGAUUAUGCACGCAAGUCGUACGAUGUGGUUAGCUUCGGCUUUCUUACCUAGUGGCGAACUGGUCCGUACAAGUUGGGUAACCUGCCUGGAAGUGGGGGAUAACGGAGGGAAACCUUCGCUAAUACCGCAUGUGGUUCGGGGGGCUUUGGCCUCCUUAACUAAAGCAGCAGUGCGCUUCCGGAUGGGCCCGACUCCCAUUAGCUUGUUGGUGGGGUAAUGGCCUACCAAGGCAACGAUGGGUAUGUGGCCUGAGAGGGUGGCCACCGACACGAGGACUGAGAUACGGCCUCGACUCCUACGGGGGGCAGCAGUCUAGAAGCUUCGGCAAUGGGGGAAACCCUGACCGAGCGACGCCGCGUGGAGGAUGACGGCCUUCGGGUUGUAAACUCCUUCGGCAGGAAGGAAUGCCUGGGUGGCGAACUCAGGAGUGACCUACCUGCGGAAGAAGCCCCGGCUAACUCUGUGCCAGCAGCCGCGGUAAGACAGAGGGGGCAAGCGUUAUUCGGAUUUACUGGGCGUAAAGGGCGCGUAGGCGGCUUGGUAAGUCUGGUGUGAAAACGCUACCGCUUAACGGAGCGAUUGCGCUGGAAACUGCCAAACUUGAGUCCAUGAGAGGCCGGUAGAAUACCUGGUGUAGCGGUGGAAUGCUUAGAGAUCAGGUAGAAUACCUGAGGCGAAGGCGGCCGGCUGGCAUGGUACUGACGCUGAGGCGCGAAAGCGUGGGGAGCAAACAGGAUUAGAUACCCUGGUAGUCCACGCUGUAAACGGUGUGCACUAGCCGUGGGGGGUAACCAUUCCCUCCGUGGCGCAGGAAACCCACUAAGUGCACCGCCUGGGGAGUACGGCCGCAAGGUUGAAACUCAAAGGAAUUGACGGGGGCCCGCACAAGCGGUGGAGCAUGUGGUUUAAUUCGACGCAACGCGAAGAACCUUACCAGGGCUCGAACGGAGGCUUAUAUCACCUGAAAAGGUGUGCCCUUCGGGGGUGCCUCCGAGGUGCUGCAUGGCUGUCGUCAGCUCGUGUCGUGAGAUGUUGGGUUAAGUCCCGCAACGAGCGCAACCCUCAUCGUUAGUUGCCAGCGCGUAAUGGCGGGGACUCUAGCGAGACUGCCCGCGGUAAGCGGGAGGAAGGUGAGGAUGAACGUCAAGUUCAUCAUGGCCCUUACGUCCUGGGCUACACACGUGCUACAAUGGCGGGGACAAUGCGCUGCUAACCAGCAAUGGUAUGCUAACCGCAUAAACCUCGCCCCAGUUCAGAUUGGAGGCUGCGACUCGCCUCCAUGAAGGUGGAAUCGCUAGUAAUCGCAGAUCAGAAUGCUGCGGUGAAUCAGUUCCCGGGCAUUGUACACACCGCCCGUCACGUCACGAAAGCCGAUUGUACC
This 1397-nucleotide ribosomal RNA is filed under the name uncultured organism. RNAcentral's name for it is "bacterial SSU rRNA". It matches the Rfam family "Bacterial small subunit ribosomal RNA". The record is from RNAcentral.